AGCGAACGCUGGCGGCAGGCUUAACACAUGCAAGUCGAACGCCCCGCAAGGGGAGUGGCAGACGGGUGAGUAACACGUGGGAACGUACCCUUUGGUUCGGAAUAACUUGGGGAAACUCAAGCUAAUACCGGAUAAGCCCUUAUGGGGAAAGGUUUACUUCCGACGGAUCGGCCCUCGUCUGAUUAGCUAGUUGGUGAGGUAAUGGCUCACCAAGGCGAUGAUCAGUAGCUGGUUUGAGAGGAUGAUCAGCCGCACUGGCACUGAGACACGGCCCAGACUCCUACGGGAACAAGCAGUAGGGAAUAUUGUACGAUGGUGGCAAGCCUGAUCCAGCCAUGCCGCGUGAGUGAUGAAGGCCUUAGGGUUGAAAAGCUCUUUUCCCCGGGACGAUAAUGACUGUACCGGGGGAAUAAGCCCCGGCUAACUUCGUGCCAGCCGCCGCAGUAA
Molecule: ribosomal RNA, 447 nt
Filed under: uncultured bacterium
Lineage: Bacteria
Description: partial 16S ribosomal RNA
Rfam family: Bacterial small subunit ribosomal RNA
Source: RNAcentral